AUCUGGGUAGCUCAGUUGGAAGAGCAUCAGACUGUAAUGGCUACAUACCUAUGAGUUCAUCUCAUCUGAAUGUCACUGGUUUGAUCCCGGUCCCGGAGA
Molecule: transfer RNA, 99 nt
Organism: Sphaerobolus stellatus SS14
Lineage: Eukaryota; Fungi; Basidiomycota; Agaricomycetes; Geastrales; Sphaerobolaceae
Rfam family: tRNA
About the family: Transfer RNA (tRNA) molecules are approximately 80 nucleotides in length. Their secondary structure includes four short double-helical elements and three loops (D, anti-codon, and T loops).
Source: Rfam